CAGCAGCCGCGGUAAUACGGAGGGUGCAAGCGUUAAUCGGAAUUACUGGGCGUAAAGCGCACGCAGGCGGUUUGUUAAGUCAGAUGUGAAAUCCCCGAGCUUAACUUGGGAACUGCAUUUGAAACUGGCAAGCUAGAGUCUUGUAGAGGGGGGUAGAAUUCCAGGUGUAGCGGUGAAAUGCGUAGAGAUCUGGAGGAAUACCGGUGGCGAAGGCGGCCCCCUGGACAAAGACUGACGCUCAGGUGCGAAAGCGUGGGGAGCAAACAGGAUUAGAGACCCCGGUAGUCCCUGUCUCUUAUAC
This 301-nucleotide ribosomal RNA is filed under the name uncultured bacterium. RNAcentral describes it as "partial 16S ribosomal RNA". It matches the Rfam family "Bacterial small subunit ribosomal RNA", at positions 509 to 807 of the family's 1533-position model. The record is from RNAcentral.